This is a non-coding RNA of Poecilia reticulata (guppy), 714 nucleotides long. Lineage: Eukaryota; Metazoa; Chordata; Actinopteri; Cyprinodontiformes; Poeciliidae. The record is from RefSeq and is a predicted model, not a curated record.
AGUUAGAAUUGCCAAACAUAACUCUAGUAACUGAAUUCAACAAUAAGAAGAUAUCUAUUAAAACUCAGAAGUUUGCAUUUGGAAGAAGGUUGUCGAGAUUUUUGCCAUUUCCUCCUGAUAGAACUGGGGUUACUGAGUCAGGAAAGCACACUCGUCUCUGAGACACAGAGUCUGUCCCGUUUCCUGAAAGCGUAAUGGCUGGACCCAUAGAGGAAACACACUUUUUUCAUCCGCGCUUCUCUUCCGGAUAACUUGGAUGAUGUCUUGACUUUUACGUCAUGUCACACAAGGAAGCUGUGUGUUUGAGACAGGGAGAAAAUGAAGUCGACGCGUUUUCGUACCGUGAGAUACCUGGUUUCAACUACAGAUCUUCUUUCAGUAAGCUGACGAGCAGUGUGCGGGAACAGGUAGGGGAGGGGCAGCACUGCAUCACUUAAUGCACCACGCAGCCAAAGGAGACUCUGAGACCCCUCUGGCUCCUUCUUUUACAUCUCAAUAAAAGAACAUUAAAUGCUGACCUCCACAAGCCAAUAAGAAUAAAUCAUCAAGGACAGAUUUUCUCGCAGGCUGACUGAAGGAAAAUGGCUGAAGUAGCUCUGCUCCAGGAGGCUUUAUGACUCUCAUCCCUAAUCAAUGAGGGGUUUACUUUGUGUCCAUGACAGGCUGUAUCCACAUUAAUACAACCACUCAGAGAUUAAAUAAGAAGACCCACGG